Manis pentadactyla (Chinese pangolin) is the source of this 1519-nucleotide long non-coding RNA. RefSeq lists it as uncharacterized. The record is from RefSeq and is a predicted model, not a curated record. The transcript has 2 exons. Lineage: Eukaryota; Metazoa; Chordata; Mammalia; Pholidota; Manidae.
CUGGUUUUGUACAGCUCCUGGGAGCUCCCUUCUGUCUGCUGGAGCGGAUGCUGUCCGAUUCAUGGAUCUUUGAAUAAAGCAGGAUGGGUCCCCCUAUUCGGCUGCCACCAACCUCCCCAGGCUCCUGAUCGUCUUCCCUGAGGCCCUCCUGCUCCCCGAACCCCCACCCAGCAGACGGUAGUCGGGACCCCUACGCGGGAAGGGGACAGGACGCCGGGACCCCACUGCAGCCAGGCGGAGACUCAGGUCCGGACGGGGCGGAGGGCGCCGAAAGGGCGCAGACCCGGGCUGCCGCCGCUUCCAGCCGGUUCCCGCAGGUUCUUUCAGACCCUCCCGGUCUUGACCCCGACAGCGCACACGCACCAUCUCGCAGCGCCGCCCGGGUCCUUCCGGCGUCCUCCCCACGGCCUCGGCAGGUGAGAGCAACGCGGACGGCACACCUGAGGCCGUGCGGAACAGGUACGUUCCGGGGGCGUGGGGGCUGAGAGCUACUUCCACGCGGCUGAGCAGCCCGCCCCUGGCCCUGAUUGGACAAUACCCCGGGCCCUCGCGUUCUGAUUGGCCAGAGUUCCGGGACCACCACGUCCUAACUGGUUAGUGCCCUGGGCAACACCCUCGAGUCCCCGAUUGGACAGUUCUUCCAGCCCGGACCCUGAGUCCUGCAUGACAGGCCAUUGGGAUGCACGUGUCUGACCCGCAGGACUGGUUCCGGCGCCGGUCGCAGAACCCGCUCCAGGCCGGGCGGGCUGGCUUCUGCCGGCCGCUCGAUGGUCUGCCCGCGUCCUUCUCCUGGACCGGAAGUUCCUGACUCACUUGCUCCUCGGAGCGCCUAGUGUCUGGAGCCGGCUCAUGAUGAGAGGGCCUGGUGACCCCGGGAUCAGGGGUCGGCUGGGGGCGUGGCGUGCUCCCUGAUAAAGAACACCGUGCAGUGCGACAUCACCGCCUGCGAGGCAGAGGCCGGCUGUGUUUUGACAUGUGACCUUUGUUACCCCAGGAGGUGCCACCUUUCAUCCUUCCCCUUCACCCCCCUCCCAGCCCCACUUCUGGGGCUUGAGCUCAGCAAACCGCAGGUACUUUAUCUCCGUGGGGCUUCUCUCAGCGCAGCCACAGGUGAGAGACGUUCGAACCCUCCUCUGAACUCCAAGGGGUCUUACAAGAGUUGUUUUGAAAGAAUUCGUUUUGCUGAAGCUGCUGUAACCUACAUCUAGCUAUACACAAAUGGUUGCUAAGGCCAUUCACUAGGCAAAAAGUGCACUUUGUUCCAGGCAGCUGUUUGUCCGGGAUGUUUACGGUUUGGCAAAAUGCAAAAAGUUCAACUUUCUGAGAACAGUAGUUUCAGAGAAGAGGAUGCGCGUAAACCCUGUUUCCCAGUGGUCCCUGGACUCAUCUGUCAGUGUCACUAUUAACUCCAUUUUGUCAACAUUUAAACCAUUUUACUGUGCAGGGAAAUUUAUGUUGGUUCAGUUUUUGGUGUAUCCCCAGAGAAUGUUUAAAUAUAAAAGUCGGGUCAUUUCCCUGA